Manis pentadactyla (Chinese pangolin) is the source of this 5014-nucleotide long non-coding RNA. RefSeq lists it as uncharacterized. The transcript is spliced from 3 exons. NCBI's taxonomy places the organism in Eukaryota, Metazoa, Chordata, Mammalia, Pholidota, Manidae. The record is from RefSeq and is a predicted model, not a curated record.
UGUGUGUGAAGGUGGUAGGGAGGAGAUGUAGUUUCAUAGAUCCUGAAAUAGCUAGAUUCUUCGGUAGUUUUUUUCCCCCAGCUUUAUGGAGAUAUAAUGGACAUACAACAUUUUGUAAGCUUAAGGUUUACAAAGUGUUAAUUUGAUAUAGUUAUGUGUUCCAAAAUGAUUACCACCAUAGCCUUAGAACAGUUCUUUUUUAUUUCAGCUUUUCUCUCUCACAAAUGGUUUCCACAAUUUACUUCAAAUUCCUGCCACAAUUUUGUUCAAUCAAAUAUUUAUCUAUAGGUACGUUUGGCUUGCAUAGCUUCAAUAAUACAAAAUUACAUUUCUGAGUUUUCCUAUUUUACUGUCAUUAUUCAUUUCCCUCUUUAAAUUAUGAACAUUUAAAAAUUGUAUUCUGAAGUGAGAACAUGGAUCAGUCAUUUCGUAAAGACAAGUUGCAAUGCAAUCUUGAAAUCACUGAAAACAAGUAGGAUCAUCAGAGAAAUUCAAGAAAGCAGUUGACAGUGAGAAGUGUGGCAGACACGAUAUUGUCCCUCACAAGCAGGACAGAAAAGAUGACAGAACUACCCCUUGUCAUAAUGAAUGACAGUAAACAGCAGUAUUCACAUGAAAAGGUUUCAGGUAUUUUUGGAAACCUAUUCAAAUAUAGAUUUUAUUAUGCAGAGAUGUGAAUCAGGAUAAAACAUUUUUUACAUCUUCACCCUUAGUUGCACUGUUACCUUUUGGAGGCUCCAUUCUAAAUCUUAGAAAGAAUAUUCACAUGUACUUAUCUCCUCAAAUAUAUAUUUUUCCCCUCGUAAAAAAAAUAGAAAUAAUCUUUAUAGUUCUGCUUUCAAAAUUAUCCAACUAAAAGCAACUUAUUUAGGUUUGGCUAUCUUUUUUGCCCAUUUAUAAUACUUGGGAAAGUGUUUGGAAGGAAGACAUUUUCCCCCCAAAUACUGAACUUAAGUUUUAAACUUUAGUUAAGUUUUCCAUUUUUAUAAAAGUUAUUUUCUAAGGGAAAUUUAUUAUGAACAGGGAAAUGAUUUUGCAAGUUGUUUGUUUCCACCAGCCGUAUAUAUUCCUACUCAACUUAUUGAAGGUUGUUGGUCAGAGUUGAGAAAUUAGAGAUUGAUUUAUUGUUUCACUGUAGAGAAAAGAUGUCUUCAGAAAGGAUAAAUAUCUAGAUAGGGUGAAUUGAUUGAGUUCUUAUUUUAAUAAUUGAGAAAGGGGCCACAAAUUCAUCUUAUUUAGCAAUCUAUAAGAACCUAAACACUCAAUAACUAGAGGCAAAACUAUUCAAGUUUUUCUGGCGUGUAACAAACAUACAGAAGUGAGGAUGAUGUUUGAGAAUUAAUUAAAGAAAGUUGAUGAUGGAGACUGAGUCAUUUUGAAAUUCUUUAUCCAUUUAGAUGUGAUGAAAAUUAUAACUUUGGUGGUAAACUAAUGAAUGAUAUUAGUACUAUUACUAUCUUUCUUUGCUGAAAACAAAUCCCUUUGGCAAGUAUUUUCCCAAAGCAGUAAAACAAACAUGUCAGUAGAUCAGUGGGUAUUUUAGCUGAACCAAUGAUAAAAGCUAUUUGAUUUCUCAGGAAGAAAAUAUGCUGAUCAAAAUUUCCACCGAGUAUUGCUUGCCAGAGGUGAGGGUAGGUAGGGGAAUAGGUGAAAUAAGUGAAGGGGAUUAAGAGGUGCAAUCUUUCAGUUAUAAAAUAAAUAAAUCGUGGGGGUGAAAGGUAUUGUCUCAGUACUGGAGUCAGUAAUAUUGUAAUAACUUUGUAUGGUGACAGAUGGUAACUACAGUUAUUGGAUGAGCAUUUCAUAAUGUAUAUAAUUGUCAAAUCAAUAUGUUAUAUACCCGAAACUCAUAUAAUAUUGUAUAUCAACCAUACUUCAAUUAAAAAAACUUCCACCAGAUACAAGUUGUAAAUGUUGGCAGCCCAAUGGCAGGAUUCUGGUAUCUUACCUGGGUGGUCACUCUGCAUAAUGACAAAAUAAACAAGAAACAAUGAGCCUCCCUCCCUACAAAGCACAAAAGCACCACCACCAGAAGCCGAAUCUGUUUGUCUCUACAUGAGUGAGCCUAGACUCCUGAAAUAUUAUGGCACCAAGACAGACAAGAGCAAUUGCCUGGUUGCUGAAUCUAAUUUAUCAAGUGUCAGUUCAGUUCAACUCAGUCCAGAUCUUAAAAGUGACAUGCUUGGGACAUCAGCCUCCUACCUGCAGGGCAGUAAGAUAGGUAGGACAUGGCUGGGUUAUUUGUUGUGAUUUUGAGUAAUUUUAAACCUAAAUUGAAUACAAAAAACAAUCAAUGUUAUAGAAAUUAGAAUGCCAACUAUGCACUUAUUUUAGGAUUAACAGGAAACUGUUAAGACAUUUAGUGUUUGUGGCAGCAUUCAUGAUGCAAUCCAUGGUCCUCUGAGGGACAUGUGUUCACUUAUUUUCAGGUGUGUGUGUGUAUGUGUGUGUGUGUGCAUGUACAAGCAAAGGUGUGCUCUGUGUUGGGUGUUCUGAAGUCAAAGCUGAGAAGACAAGCCAGAGGCAAGUGACAUUCCAGGGUCAACGUAUACGAUAGGAAAGGAGGUUUGUGGUCAAGAGAAGGAAAAGAGGGUAACAGGAAAAGCUGGGAUGAAGAAGCAGCCCCCAGGAACUGACAGUGUGAAGAAAACAUCCCCUCCUGUCACCCUUACUGUAGGCUUCUCUCUUGUCCUGAGGUCGGGCCAUCAUUAUACUCUGAGUCUGGGCCCAUAGGCAAGGCCCACACCAAAGCAGGAUCUUGAUUCUCCCUCAAAAGGUCUAGAUAUUUUCAGUGUCAACCAUUAUGCAAAGAAGCUAACCUUCACUCACAGGAAGAUGAAGGUGGAGCUUAGCCAGAAGGAAAGGGAUCUCGAUCCUAUCUGAGGUCCUUGCUCGCCUGGGCCCAGGCUUGGGGGAGGAUGGAAAUGUGUUCCGUUACUCCCUGGCUCUUGCCUCGGUGUAUCCCUGGGACAGAAGCAGGCUGAGGUUGCCUGAGGAGGAAGACCCAGCUCCCGGGGGCUCCGAGAAGAGGCCUACCCUGGAUCCACACCUAAGUUUCACUUGCUGUCUUUUUCUCAUUGUUGUCAUCUUUGAGAAUUUAGUUUGUCUUCCUAAAUAUAACAGUAUGGGCUUGGGUGUGUAAUGGAGAAUUGAGGGGAGGAUUUACUCGUUUUGGGGUUCAGUCAAAGGGGGAAAGAAGAGCCUCUGAGACCAUUAGGCUGCGAUGACGCAGAGCCUCCAGGGAGUGUGGGUUUCAGGGAGCCAGAGCUGAGCUACCAAAUCCAGUCAUCCUCUCAUACACACAGAUGUGCUGGCCUGUCUUUUACCCUAAGGGAUUUGAAGAGAUGAGAAGCAUCAUAUACUGGCAGGAAAUCUGAUGUAUCAUGUCUGCUUCUGGGAAGAAGAAACCAAAGAAUGAAAGUUUGUUUUCAGGAGGUGUUGGGCAUUUAUUUAUUUCCUAAUUAACUCUUUCUUCCCCUUUGCUCAGGCAAAAACUAGUCAUUUAACAUAUUUUGAGAUAGAGGGCUGACCAUAGUGUCCGGUGAACAGUGAAACAAGAUAUUUAUUGAAUGAAUGAAUGAAUGAAGAUGACACAGCCUCCAUCCUUGUGGCUCACAGAUUAAGGAGGCCUGAGAAAAGCCUCAUGUUGCAGAAAAGUCCAUAAAGACCGAGCAUUCCAAAGCUUUACUUUGAGCUGGUGCAUGAGCCCAUCACUUAUUUCACAGGGAUUAAGGAUUUUCCCCUUCCUCGUUGAGGUGGAACAGAAGAGGCAAAUUGUUACAUACACAUGGUCUAACCUGAAAGGCCAAACCAUAGGAGGCAAUUCUCCUUCCCUAUCCUACCAAACAGAAGUCUGUCAUGCUGCUGCUCUAUUCCUUUACUCUCCCUGCCUGGGCUGGAAAUGAUGGCUGAAGACAUCACUGGAGACGGUGCAACAGAAACACAGAACUGCUUCCCCAUUGCAGAGACUGUCCCGGAGCCCAGCUCCCUCCCACUAUACUGCCUGGGGUGACCUGGAAUAACCUGCCUUCUGUUAAGCCACCUCUAUUGAGUCUCAUGCAGAUGAAUGCAAACCCAAAUACAGGGAGCUAAUGAUGUAUUUAAAUGUGAGAGUUGAUGUUUUUAGUUUAGAACGAUUGCUCUAGCUUUGUGGGAGCUGUUCUGGACAGGGACAAGGGCAGCUGUGGGGACACAGACAGGAGGGCUGUUGGUGAUUGACGAUGACAGCUGCAGGGCUAAGGCGGCCUUGCUGGAGAGACAGGUGGAUCUGAGAAGUGCUGGGAGGGGAAGAGUUAACCGGAGGUGACAAGACAAAGCAGUUGAGAGGCUCUGGCUUGAAUUAGUGGGCAGGAUGAAGAGUCUUUAAUUGUUGGCAUCUCUAAAAAAACACCGGGGUUAAAAAUCAAGCUUUUUCAAUUCUUGAUUUCCUUAAAAUGAUGGAUGGAACGACUUUUGCCCAGGUUUUCAAUCAUGACCAUAGAGGUUUGGAGCUUCAAGGAUGCCUGAAAUCUCUCAUAAAUAAUUCUUGUGCAUUUCCCAGGUUGGGAAUGAUCCUGCCACCCAAAACAAGCCUGGAGAAGCAAUUUUUAAAAAUGAUUCAUACAUUGGCAUAUCUGGAGUCAAACAUCUGAGACAUCUAGGUUCUGAGAACUCAGUCACUAACUCAUCCUUUCAGACGCCACUAACAGCUUCAGUAAGAGCGAAGCCGGGGAGCUCUCCUUGUUUCCUGGUCCGGUCCCUCUGUUUGCAGCCCUGGGCUGUGCCAGAGAUCUGGUCCCCUGGGCUGUGACUUUGGAAAGCCUUGUGGGCUGGGGAGAGGGUGAAUGGAGCUGAGAAUACCCAGAAUUGUGGGGUUAAGGUGGUGGAGCAAAUUUCAACACUGUCCCUUAUAAAUAUAACAGGUAAUUAUAUUUCUUAUUUUUGCCUUUUUUUCCCCCUUCCACAGACAUAAACACAAAGAGUUUUUGGGUUCUUCUGAGAGCAAGAGACAGACAGAGAGAGAGGGAGAGGGAGA